CGGUAAUUCCAGCUCCAAUAGCGUAUACUAAAGUUGUUGCAGUUAAAAAGCUCGUAGUUGGAUUUCUGCGGGGACGGAGCGGCCGGACGCAACUUGCGUCUCGAGCUAGCGCUUUCCCCGCAUCCUGCCGCGAACCGUGCUACCAUUAGCUUGGUGGCGCUGGGGAUCGGCUCGAUUACUUUGAGAAAAAUAGAGUGUUCAAAGCAGGCCACACGCCUUGAAUAAGUUAGCAUGGAAUAAUGACUAAGGACUUCGGUUCUAUUUUGUUGGUGUUCGGGACUGAAGUAAUGAUUGAUAGGGACAGUUGGGGCGGUCUGUAUUCCAAAGCGAGAGGUGAAAUUCUUAGACCUUCGGAAGACAAACAGCUGCGAAAGCGUUCCGCAAGGAUGUUCCCUUUGAUCAAGAACGAAAGUUGGGGGAUCGAAGACGAUCAGAUACCGUCGUAGUCUCAACUAUAAACUAUACCAGCUAGGGAUCGGUCAACGUUUAAUCAUUCGACUUGAUCGGCACCUUAUGAGAAAUCAAAGCAUCUGGGCUCCGGGGGGAGUAUGGUCGCAAGGCUGAAACUUAAAGGAAUUGACGGAAGGGCACCACCAGCCGUGGAGCCUGUGGCUUAAUUUGACUCAACACGGGAAAACUUACCAGGUCCAGACAUAGUAAGGAUUGACAGAUUGAUAGCUCUUUCUUGAUUCUGUGGGUGGUGGUGCAUGGCCGUUCUUAGUUGGUGGAGUGAUUUGUCUGGUUAAUUCCGUUAACGAACGAGACCCCAGCCUGCUAAAUAGCGCGGCUGAGCUUUGCUCGGUGCGAGCUUCUUAGAGGGACUAUGAUGCGCGAUAGCACAUGGAAGUUUGGGGCAAUAACAGGUCUGUGAUGCCCUUAGAUGUUCUGGGCCGCACACGGGCUACACUGGCGCCUGCAACGAGCAUAUCAGCUGGCCCGAGAGGGUCUUGGCUAAUCUUUUGAACCGGCGCCGUGCUUGGGAUUGACCAUUGCAAUUGUUGGUCAUGCAACGAGGAAUGCCUUGUAAACGCGAGUCAUCAGCUCGCAUUGAAUACGUCCCUGCCCUUUGUACACACCGCCCGUCGCUCCUACCGAUGAAUGUUCCGAUGAAAUUUUCGGAGAGCGCCAGAGAACGGGGCUCUGCCUUGCAGAUCUGGAGGCUCAAAGUCACUUAAAUCUGAACAUUUCGAGGAAGGAGAAGUCGUAACAAGGUAACC
RNAcentral lists this ribosomal RNA (1217 nucleotides) under uncultured Rhizaria. RNAcentral's name for it is "SSU rRNA". It matches the Rfam family "Eukaryotic small subunit ribosomal RNA", at positions 577 to 1804 of the family's 1831-position model. The record is from RNAcentral.